GCCCACAUCGCAUAGUGGUUAUUGCACCGGGUUGCUAACUCGGGCCCUUCGGGGCGCCUCGGUUCGACUCCGAGUGUGGGCG
Molecule: transfer RNA, 82 nt
Filed under: archaeon
Lineage: Archaea
Description: tRNA-Ser
Rfam family: tRNA
About the family: Transfer RNA (tRNA) molecules are approximately 80 nucleotides in length. Their secondary structure includes four short double-helical elements and three loops (D, anti-codon, and T loops). Further hydrogen bonds mediate the characteristic L-shaped molecular structure. tRNAs have two regions of fundamental functional importance: the anti-codon, which is responsible for specific mRNA codon recognition, and the 3' end, to which the tRNAs corresponding amino acid is attached (by aminoacyl-tRNA synthetases). tRNAs cope with the degeneracy of the genetic code in two manners: having more than one tRNA (with a specific anti-codon) for a particular amino acid; and 'wobble' base-pairing, i.e. permitting non-standard base-pairing at the 3rd anti-codon position.
Source: RNAcentral